RNAcentral lists this unclassified non-coding RNA (822 nucleotides) under Hevea brasiliensis (rubber tree). Lineage: Eukaryota; Viridiplantae; Streptophyta; Magnoliopsida; Malpighiales; Euphorbiaceae. The record is from RNAcentral.
CUAGGCCAUCCCCCUGUCUGAGCUGCAAAGUUGAAGACUUGCCACUAUCACCGUGUGAUCUGUCUUGUUCCGCACACUCCUCAUCAACAAAUACUUCAAUAAUGCAGGUGCUUGGAGUCGCUCCACCAGCUCUAGGCCCUGGUCUUUGUGGAAUCUUGUGAGUUGUCCACUUGGCAGGUUUUGCAUUAUUUUCUUUGUUUCUCUCAGCUCGAGCUCCAAGAUUGUUCCAAGGAUUGAAAUCUGUUUUUGACUUGCCAGAUUGAUGUCCCAGCAAAAUAUCAGUAUUUGAGUCCUUAUAAAUAGAAAGGGGGGUCUUUUGAGCCCUGUCUAGAUUCAAUCUGUUCCUGGAAAUAUCUGAAUUCUCCAUAUUGUGCCUCCUGUUUUCUGCGCUGGCCAACACAGUUCCAAAGCUUCGGACUGGCAAGUUAUUUUCUCCAGAGGCAUCCUCCACAACUUUUGGUCUUCUCAUUGAUCUCAUGAGAAAUUUCUUGUAGGCGUCCUUCAAUUUUUCUAUUGGUUGAGCCUCCCUAGAUAUCCCAAGAUCAAAUAUGUCAUUUGCAGCCUUCAUCUUAGACUUGGACUCCAUAUGUAAAGCAUAUGCAACAUAGAAUGCAGAAUGUGACUUUCCAAUUUCAUUUGCGUCAAGAAAAUUGUAAAUGACUUCCGCAUCAGCACAGUUUUCAGCAUAUUCCAGCCACACUUUGAGGUAGCGAAGAUCGUCCUUGUAGAGAUCUGAAUGCCAAAAGGCACGCACACAUUGCUCAUAUAUUAAUAUCAGUCCUGAGCAAUCUCCACCAGGCGGAAAUGACUCCUGAACCCAUU